Molecule: ribosomal RNA, 285 nt
Filed under: uncultured bacterium
Lineage: Bacteria
Description: partial 16S ribosomal RNA
Rfam family: Bacterial small subunit ribosomal RNA
Source: RNAcentral
CUGCCUACGGGAGGCAGCAGUGAGGAAUAUUGGUCAAUGGCCGGAAGGCUGAACCAGCCAAGUCGCGUGAGGGAAUAAGGCCCUACGGGUCGUAAACCUCUUUUGCCGGGGAGCAAGGGCGGGGACGUGUCCCGGCCCGGAGAGUACCCGGAGAAAAAGCAUCGGCUAACUCCGUGCCAGCAGCCGCGGUAAUACGGAGGAUGCGCGCGUUAUCCGGAUUUAUUGGGUUUAAAGGGUGCGUAGGCGGGCUUUUAAAUCUGCGGUAAAAAUUCGGGGCUCAACCCC